RNAcentral lists this ribosomal RNA (803 nucleotides) under Streptomyces sp. RNAcentral's name for it is "bacterial SSU rRNA". It matches the Rfam family "Bacterial small subunit ribosomal RNA", at positions 67 to 883 of the family's 1533-position model. The record is from RNAcentral. Lineage: Bacteria; Bacillati; Actinomycetota; Actinomycetes; Kitasatosporales; Streptomycetaceae.
CGAUGAAGCCCAUUCGGGGUGGAUUAGUGGCGAACGGGUGAGUAACACGUGGGCAAUCUGCCCUUCACUCUGGGACAAGCCCUGGAAACGGGGUCUAAUACCGGAUACGACGCGCUCGGGCAUCCGAUGUGCGUGGAAAGCUCCGGCGGUGAAGGAUGAGCCCGCGGCCUAUCAGCUUGUUGGUGAGGUAACGGCUCACCAAGGCGACGACGGGUAGCCGGCCUGAGAGGGCGACCGGCCACACUGGGACUGAGACACGGCCCAGACUCCUACGGGAGGCAGCAGUGGGGAAUAUUGCACAAUGGGCGAAAGCCUGAUGCAGCGACGCCGCGUGAGGGAUGACGGCCUUCGGGUUGUAAACCUCUUUCAGCAGGGAAGAAGCGAAAGUGACGGUACCUGCAGAAGAAGCGCCGGCUAACUACGUGCCAGCAGCCGCGGUAAUACGUAGGGCGCGAGCGUUGUCCGGAAUUAUUGGGCGUAAAGAGCUCGUAGGCGGUCUGUCGCGUCGGAUGUGAAAGCCCGGGGCUUAACCCCGGGUCUGCAUUCGAUACGGGCAGACUAGAGUGUGGUAGGGGAGAUCGGAAUUCCUGGUGUAGCGGUGAAAUGCGCAGAUAUCAGGAGGAACACCGGUGGCGAAGGCGGAUCUCUGGGCCAUUACUGACGCUGAGGAGCGAAAGCGUGGGGAGCGAACAGGAUUAGAUACCCUGGUAGUCCACGCCGUAAACGGUGGGAACUAGGUGUUGGCGACAUUCCACGUCGUCGGUGCCGCAGCUAACGCAUUAAGUUCCCCGCCUGGGGAGUAC